GGGGGAGCAAACCGGAUUAGAUACCCGGGUAGUCCAGCUGUAAACUAUGCAAACUCAGUGAUGCAUUGGCUUGUGGCCAAUGCAGUGCUGCAGGGAAGCCGUUAAGUUUGCCGCCUGGGAAGUACGUACGCAAGUAUGAAACUUAAAGGAAUUGGCGGGGGAGCACCACAAGGGGUGAAGCCUGCGGUUCAAUUGGAGUCAACGCCAGAAAUCUUACCCGGAGAGACAGCAGAAUGAAGGUCAAGCUGAAGACUUUACCAGACAAGCUGAGAGGUGGUGCAUGGCCGUCGCCAGCUCGUGCCGUGAGAUGUCCUGUUAAGUCAGGUAACGAGCGAGAUCCCUGCCUCUAGUUGCCACCAUUACUCUCAGGAGUAGUGGGGCGAAUUAGCGGGACCGCCGCAGUUAAUGCGGAGGAAGGAAGGGGCCACGGCAGGUCAGUAUGCCCCGAAACUCUGGGGCCACACGCGGGCUGCAAUGGUAACGACAAUUGGUUUCGAAUCCGAAAGGAUGAGGUAAUCCUCAAACGUUACCACAGUUAUGACUGAGGGCUGCAACUCGCCCUCACGAAUAUGGAAUCCCUAGUAACUGCGUGUCAUUAUCGCGCGGUGAAUACGUCCCUGCUCCUUGCACACACCGCCCGU
RNAcentral lists this ribosomal RNA (641 nucleotides) under uncultured archaeon. RNAcentral's name for it is "bacterial SSU rRNA". It matches the Rfam family "Archaeal small subunit ribosomal RNA", at positions 713 to 1353 of the family's 1478-position model. The record is from RNAcentral.